Molecule: non-coding RNA, 73 nt
Organism: Mus musculus (house mouse)
Lineage: Eukaryota; Metazoa; Chordata; Mammalia; Rodentia; Muridae
Source: Rfam
GCCUGGCUAGCUUAGUUGGUAAAGCAUAAGACUCUUAAUCCUAGGGUCGUAAGUUUGAGCCCCACAUUAGGCG